UACGGGGGGGGCAAGCGUUGUUCGGAAUUACUGGGCGUAAAGUGUUUGUAGGUGGCUUGUUAAGUCAGACGUGAAAUCCCUCAGCUUAACUGGGGAACUGCGUCUGAUACUGGCGAGCUUGAGUGCAGGAGAGGAACGCGGAAUUCCAGGUGUAGCGGUGAAAUGCGUAGAUAUCUGGAGGAACACCGGUGGCGAAGGCGGCGUUCUGGACUGCAACUGACACUGAGAAACGAAAGCCAGGGUAGCAAACGGG
This 253-nucleotide ribosomal RNA is filed under the name uncultured bacterium. RNAcentral's name for it is "partial 16S ribosomal RNA". It matches the Rfam family "Bacterial small subunit ribosomal RNA", at positions 524 to 776 of the family's 1533-position model. The record is from RNAcentral.